Molecule: long non-coding RNA, 2770 nt
Organism: Takifugu rubripes (torafugu)
Lineage: Eukaryota; Metazoa; Chordata; Actinopteri; Tetraodontiformes; Tetraodontidae
Source: Ensembl
UUUUAAAAGCUACAUAAACCAGAGAAGAGACGGCACAACGGCAGCACGACGGCAGCACGACGGUAUCACGACUGUGUUAUUCUAUUUUAUAAGCUACAUAAGCCAGAGAGAAGGCAUAGCACAACGACAUCACGACGGCAGCACAACGGUAUCACGACUGUGUUAUUCUAGCAAGUCUUUUUGCCUUUAUUUAUAGAUAUUUUUCCGUUAUUUUAUUCAUUUUUAAUUUUUAAUUUCAGUUUUAUAAGCUACAUAAGCCAGAGAGAAGGCAUAGCACAACGACAUCACGACGGCAGCACAACGGUAUCACGACUUUGUUAUUCUAGCAAAUGUUUUUUGCCUUAUUUAUAUAAAUUUUUUACGUUAUUUUAUUCAUUUUUGAUUUUUCAUUUCAGUUUUAUAAGCUACAUAAGCCAGAGAGAAGAGAUGGCACGACAGCAGCACGAUGGCAGCACAACGUUUUAUACGCUACAUAAGCCAGAGAGAAGGCAUAGCACAACGACAUCACGACGGCAGCACAACGUUUUAUAAGCUACAUAAGCCAGAGAGAAGAGACGGCACAACGGCAGCACAACGGUAUCACGACUGUGUUAUUCUAGUAACUUUUUUUUGCCUUAUUUAUAUAUUUUCUUUUGUUAUUCUAUUCAUUUUUGAUUUUUCAUUUCAGUUUUAUAAGGUAGAUAAGCCAGAGAGAAGGCAUAGCACAACGACAUCACGACGGCAGCACAACGGUAUCACGACUUUGUUAUUCUAGCAAGUUUUUUUGCCUUAUUUAUAUCAGUUUUUUACGUUAUUUUAUUCAUUUUUGAUUUUUGAUUUCAGUUUUAUAAGCUAAGCUAGAGAGAAGAGACAGCACAAGGACAUCACGACGGCUGCACGGCGACAGCAACUAUUAAUAUUAUUAUUAUUAACUUGUUCUCGCAACUUUUUUUGCCUUAUUCAUAUUUUUAUUUGAUGUUAUUCUUUUAAUUUUUGAUUUUUCAUUUCAGUUUUAUAAGCUAGAUAAGGCAGAGAGAAGAGACGGCACAACGGCAGCACAACGGUAUCACGAGUGUUAUUCUAGCAACUGUUUUUUGCCUUAUUUAUAGAUAUUUUUACGUUAUUUUAUUCAUUUUUGAUUUUUAAUUUCAGUUUUAUAAGGUAGAUAAGCCAGAGAGAAGAGACGGCACAACGACAUCACGACGGCAGCACAACGGUAUCACGACUGUGUUAUUCUAGCAAGUUUUUUUGCCUUUAUUUAUAGAUAUUUUUCCGUUAUUUUAUUCAUUUUUAAUUUUUAAUUUCAGUUUUAUAAGCUACAUAAGCCAGAGAGAAGGCAUAGCACAACGACAUCACGACGGCAGCACAACGGUAUCACGACUGUGUUCUUCUAGCAAGUUUUUUUGCCUUAUUUAUAGAUAUUUUUUACGUUAUUUUAUUCAUUUUUAAUUUUUCAUUUCAGUUUUAUAAGCUAGAUGAGCGAGAGAGAAGAGACAGCUGCACGACUGCAGCGCGCACAGCGACAGCUCAACAAAACUAUUCAAAAAUUUAAUUCACUAAUUGUAUUUGUUGAAAUUCACUUUUGAAUUGGCUCAAGUGUCAGACAUUAUAAUCCACCUUCAUAGGUCAACACACACACUCCCACAGACGCACACAGACGCACACAGACAGAGCUGCCCGUGUGACCAUUUGUUAGCUGUGAAAUAUUAAUCACGCUCAGCUGCCGAUCCCUGCACACACCGCAGCACGCGCACACACAGACCCGCGGAGCUCGUAUUGACAUGUGGAUCGGUGACAGGGUCACACAUGCGCGCGCAUGUGCACGCCCCCUCCGCUCCUUACCGGCCUCGCCUGUGCAUCUGUGAGUCUGUAGGUCCCAGCUGUCUGAGGAUCGAAGGAGGGUGUGUUCGGUGACCUGUUCCAACCAGCCUGGUGAGAAUGUGUGUGUGUCCAAAUCCAUUGAUUUCAUACACAGCAGAGUGGAUUUAUAGCCUAAUGUUUAUGUGCAUUUUUAAAACUCUGAAGCCUCCGUGCCAGGUUCAGGUAGCUCAUCGGUUCUAUCCUGCUCUGUACAGAACACUAACCCAUAGCAUUCUGUUUGGUAGGAACCCCUGAAAUGGACUUGAACUACCCUUGGUGACGGGCUGGCAAGAACUGUGUGUGAGGUGAUGAGGAGCGACAUCUCCACGGGCUUGUCACAUAAUAUAUCGCGCCUCCACGUACCCUCUUUCAGAGUGUGUGACAUGGGAACAACCAGGGCUGCCUUAAAUCACCGUCCUUACCAUCGGCUGCUCCGCCGGGGGGGGCUCCUGGAUACUUAGCAUUCCUACAGAGACUGGAGACUGUGAGAACCAGAAGCCGUGGGCAAAAAUAUUUUUUGGUCUUAGUCUUAAAGGGUCUGAAAAACCUGUGCAGUCUUUGUGUGCGCGUUUGGGUGCUCGAGUGAACCUGAUGGUGGAAUUAAAAGCAGAUCUUUGUACUUUUCAAGAAGAGAAUCUUAAAUCAGCCGGCCAUCAGCAGGAGGGUCCCCCUACACGAGCCUGGUCCUGCUCAAGGUUUCUUCCUGUUAAAGGGGAGUUUUUCCUUGCCACAGUUGCUUGUUGGGGGGUCAGGCCCUGGGAUUCUGUUAAGCACCUACAAACAAUUGUAACAGACGCUAUAUAAAGAUUGAUUGAUUGAAUGUAUUUGCAUAAAUGUGCAUAAACUCAUCAGUACCACAGAGAUGUAACGUUGUGUGUGUGUGUUCAACACUGACUUCAUGUUUAUGUGUGUGCGUGUGCGUGCAUAAAUU